This 468-nucleotide ribosomal RNA is filed under the name uncultured bacterium. RNAcentral describes it as "partial 16S ribosomal RNA". It matches the Rfam family "Bacterial small subunit ribosomal RNA", at positions 28 to 507 of the family's 1533-position model. The record is from RNAcentral.
GACGAACGCUGGCGGCGUGCUUAACACAUGCAAGUCGAACGGAAAGGCCCUGCUUUUGUGGGGUGCUCGAGUGGCGAACGGGUGAGUAACACGUGAGUAACCUGCCCUUGACUUUGGGAUAACUUCAGGAAACUGGGGCUAAUACCGGAUAGGAGCUCCUGCUGCAUGGUGGGGGUUGGAAAGUUUCGGCGGUUGGGGAUGGACUCGCGGCUUAUCAGCUUGUUGGUGGGGUAGUGGCUUACCAAGGCUUUGACGGGUAGCCGGCCUGAGAGGGUAACCGGCCACAUUGGGACUGAGAUACGGCCCAGACUCCUACGGGAGGCAGCAGUGGGGAAUAUUGCACAAUGGGCGGAAGCCUGAUGCAGCAACGCCGCGUGCGGGAUGACGGCCUUCGGGUUGUAAACCGCGUUCGCCUGUGACGAAGCGUGAGUGACGGUAAUGGGUAAAGAAGCACCGGCUAACUACGUG